This 254-nucleotide ribosomal RNA is filed under the name uncultured bacterium. RNAcentral describes it as "partial 16S ribosomal RNA". It matches the Rfam family "Bacterial small subunit ribosomal RNA", at positions 524 to 777 of the family's 1533-position model. The record is from RNAcentral.
GACAGAGGUGCCGAGCGUUAGGCGGAAUCACUGGGCUUAAAGCGUGUGUAGGCGGAUCCGUAAGUACCUUGUGAAAUCCCACGGCUCAACCGUGGAACUGCUUGGUAUACUGCGGGUCUUGAGCCACCUAGGGGCGAGCGGAACAAGUGGUGGAGCGGUGAAAUGCGUAGAUAUCACUUGGAACGCCAAUGGUGAAAACAGCUCGCUGGGGGUGUGCUGACGCUGAGACACGAAAGCCAGGGGAGCAAAACGGG